Molecule: non-coding RNA, 19 nt
Filed under: Rattus norvegicus (Norway rat)
Lineage: Eukaryota; Metazoa; Chordata; Mammalia; Rodentia; Muridae
Source: RNAcentral
AUUAAGAUUGGAGGGUAUU